Molecule: long non-coding RNA, 324 nt
Organism: Nanorana parkeri
Lineage: Eukaryota; Metazoa; Chordata; Amphibia; Anura; Dicroglossidae
Exons: 3
Source: RefSeq, a predicted model, not a curated record
GAUGCCCCUAAGCCCUGCUUGCCAGCUCUGAGAUCUGACGACAACUAUUGACUCUGACAUCUAACAAAUGAUUCUGACUGUGGUUUAAUGGAUGAUUGAUGGGCAUCUGCGUUUUGAAGGAAUAUAAUCGAGUUUUAUAUGAGGAGCAUGAUGUAAACUGAGGUAUAGCCUAAAAUGUACACAGUGGUGCAGUAGUGAAAAAUAUGACAAAUCUAUUUAUAAAAUACCUUGCUGCUAUAUGUACACUGGAUAGGCAACUGAUUUUUCAGUGCACUGCCAUUUGAAAAUGUCUUAAUUAGUAAGCUGUGUACACACCGUCCUAGU